AUCCGUUCCCUUCCUCUCUUAUAGCAAGAUUCCUUCAUUCCAUUGUCAAUUUUCUCAUCCUUUGAACGUUGCUUUCUUUCUUCAAACAUUCAUUCAUUUCUUUUAUUUGUCUUUCCUCCUCACUCACCCUCUCUUCGUUCUUCUUGCUGAAGCACACCACCACCAACAUGAAACCACGUGGACAGCACCACAACACCACUACAAUCAUGCCAUUUUCUUCUUCUCGGCCAAGGCUAUUAUUAAGCCUUCUCCGCUUCCAAUUAUUUCCAAGAAGCCAUGCACGCAACCAGCCUUCAUUCUCCCCUCUGUUUAUCACAGCCGAGAGCUCCUCCAUGAAAAAAAGGGGACAAUCACUACAAAGAGAAGGAGCCACGAUAGCAUAGGCACAUUACCACCAUCAUCUUCAUCUUCAUCUUCUCAUUUUAUGGGUACGAAGGACGGAAGCGCUUGACGACGAAGCCAAAGAACAAACGGAAGUGAGCCAACACGGGAAAGCAAAGAUAUGACUGGAUUUGAUUUGAGUCGCAACUUAGUAAGGAAAGCGCCUAAGGUUAGGGCAACUUACAUAUUAGCUAUGACUGCAUGAUAGGCGUCGAUCAACUUGACUUAUGCUUUAUCUGAUGUUGUUUAUGAUGAUGAGUUGAUGUUAUGAUGUUUUUCCAUAACUUGUGAUACUGUGAUAUUGUUGGAUUGUGCGUUUUGACGCGACUUCGGAGUGGAGAUUCAUUGAUCUGGUGAUCUUUGAUAUUUCGGGUUGGAUGAACAACCCUAGGCAAGUCCAAACGAGGGGUUGAGACUUAGCCAUUUGUUGGGAUUCGUUUGAAUACUUAGACUUUCCCCGGGAAACUUCUUUUGGGUGGUUUGUCUUUGGAAAACUUAGAAUGAUUAGAAUUUCGAAAACUAGAGACUUUGGGAGACUUAGAUUUUGAGAAAUAAACUCAUAACCUGACUAAUUCAAUUCGAAACGUUUUUACUAAAUGAAUAAUCAUAGGAGAAUUGGAGGGGAAAAUAUUUACGAAAGACGGGGAAAAGUCGACUUUUGUUGUGGGUUUGGAGAGUUUUGGAAUUGGGAAAGCCACUAAGGUGAGCUAUGGUGAUGAUUGAAAGUCACCGAGUACUCUAGUACUCUUGGGAGUGUUGUGGAGCCGUGUUGUAUUGACCGACACCUAGUGCUCUUGUUGUUUGGGUUGUGUUGUAUUGACCGACACUAGACCCUUGUGUAUUCUUGUUGAUGGAGUUGUGUUGUAUUGACCGACACUUACUCCGAGUUGUGUUGUAUUGACCGACACUAACUCAUGGUUCUGUUGAGGUUGGGUUGUGAGCUAAACACUUUCGUGGUAAGGGCGAUUCGUUGUUUGGCUAACCAUAUUGCAUCAAUCGGGUGAAUAACGGGAAUGGUUCACCUGUGCAUCUCAUGGUGAAUAACGGGAAUGGUUCACCUUGCAUUAAUGAUGAAUAACGGGAAUGGUUCAUCAUAUGGUGAAUAACGGGAAUGGUUCACCAAGGAUGAAUAACGGGAAUGGUUCAUCCAGGAUGAAUAACGGGAAUGGUUCAUCCAUAGUGAAGAACGGGAAUGCUUCACUUGUGGCGAACGGGAACGCGUCACAAAUCCGGAUUCAUGAUUGCAUAUCACGCAUACAUUCAUUCUGACUUGAACUGUGUGCUGUUUGGUUAUUGAAGCAAUGUUAGAGCCAUAACAUGCUAGGAUUGUUUAUAUAUAUAUAUAUCAACAUAUAUCUAUACCCCAUAUCACAUGUUGAGUGUAUAUCUACUUAUUUCUGUGAGUUGACCCUAGCGCCUUGGCUUUGGUUGUAUGUUUGUGUUUGGGCGGUCGGCCUGCUGCCAGAUGUCGACGGUGGAUUGGGUUUCGAUGGUCUUUCCCUCGGGGGGGAUCAGAUAUGAGUUGGUGGACCGUCAUGCCCCACCGCUUGGGUGAUCUAUCUUGUGGGUCAUCGGGCGACGUACCGGGGAAGGGUCAUGGAGGACCGGACUGACGAGAGUGGACGUCUGACGAAAGGAGCUUUACGACGCAUGGAGCUGAGCUUCAACUUGCCAACUUCAGUUCGCAGUGGACUUGGUACUGGGAGGGUAGGUUUAGGCAGGCGUCAUAUUUUGUGUAGAGCUCUGAUUCGCUUUGCUAUUGGGACAGGGUAGGUUCCCAACGCAUGACUUUUGUGUGGUUCUCUUACUGAGGGAUCACAGUGAGUCAGUCGGACCAUAGGGGUCUUUGCUUAGGCCAUUUUGAGGCCGACUUUCUCCUAGUGGUUUGUAAUUAUAAUUUUCUCACUUACACUUCUGGGUCUGUAUAUAUUUUCCUAAGGGCACACUACUUGGGAGUCACUGCGGGUUCGCGUGACGUGGAGUGCAGCUGAGGCUGUACAUGUGUAUAUAUUGUAUAUCAGUUAGUUUAGUUGUUUGGUUUUGUCUUUAUGUCCUUUAUCGCUUUUAUUUAAAGGAAUCAAUCGAAAAAAAAAUUACCUGUUUUCCGCGUAAAGUUUAUUUUUGGUUACUAAAGUGACACCUGGAAAUCGAGGUGUUACAGACGGAAGGGCUUCAAUCGCCCGUUUUAGAUAGAUGAGGGACCUUGACCGCUCGUUUUAAACACAGGGGGUGCAUACCGCACAUUUGUGAAACAUCAGGGGCCCAAACUGGAAUUAAGCCUAAUAUAUAUAAAGGACAAGUGCGCUGAACGUGGGCGCGAGGGAUUAGUCUCACAGUUGUCGGCUGUGGAGAUACCUUGAUCAAGGCCAAAAAAAGGAGAAGCAACCUUGAGGGCAAAAUUGUAAUAUAAAUGAGUGGAAAUUCACCCAUGGUCAUAUACGUAAAUUUGUGAAUCGUUAAAUAUGAAAUCAAUAUUGGUCAUUCAUUGCUUCUAAUUAUAGUCGUUCAUCAUUUUCUUAUGAAACCUUUGUACAACCUUUUUCACAUUCUUGGGCGUUCUAUUUGUUCUUUUUGUAACUCAUGAUUAUUGAUUAUGGUUACAAAAUCAGAAAGAGUUUCUUCCUUUUUCUCUCAUAUACAAAACAUCUUCUCAUUCCCCUUUCAAAUUAUUUUCACCUCUCCCAUAUUGAUCUUCAGCACAUUCAUUCAUGUGCAAGAAAUCUCUCUCGUCUAGAUUCUUCAAAAACACCAUUCAAGCACAAGAAGAUCUUCCAUCAGGUGUGACAUGUUGAAGACCACUCAUUAAUAAUGUAGGCAAGAGGUACCUAUUGUAGGUCAUAGAAAAGCAAACUUAAUUAGUGGUACAACACCGAGUAAAGGAAAAACUACUAGAGUCUAUUUAACCAUUAGUUUGGGAGCUAAAAAGGUUUGUAGAUUUGAAUUUUAGGCUGAAGAUGUUAAUGUAAAAUGCGGCAGACUUUAUAAAAUGACGAAUAUGAUAAAAUUAUUUUGCAGCGUUUAUAACUUUAUACAGUGUUUCAUAUUGCGAUAUUAUUAACUUUUUAGCUUUUGUUAUUC
Lotus japonicus is the source of this 3459-nucleotide long non-coding RNA. RefSeq lists it as uncharacterized. The record is from RefSeq and is a predicted model, not a curated record. The transcript has 3 exons. Lineage: Eukaryota; Viridiplantae; Streptophyta; Magnoliopsida; Fabales; Fabaceae.